Molecule: non-coding RNA, 47 nt
Organism: Caenorhabditis briggsae
Lineage: Eukaryota; Metazoa; Nematoda; Chromadorea; Rhabditida; Rhabditidae
Source: Rfam
CCAACGGCCCUCUUUAGGGCCACGAAUCACAUGAAUCCAAAUUGAUU